RNAcentral lists this long non-coding RNA (567 nucleotides) under Phaseolus vulgaris (common bean). Its description in RNAcentral is "long non-coding RNA (PVUL_LNC000125)". The record is from RNAcentral. Lineage: Eukaryota; Viridiplantae; Streptophyta; Magnoliopsida; Fabales; Fabaceae.
CUUUAUCAUCCCGUCUGCGACGUCGUUCACGACCUUGAUCGCCUCUUUCAGUCUCUUCUCCGAACCGAUACCGAGAAGCCGCUUCGCUUGCCAAACACACGGCGACGAGGUCAUGGCGCGUUCCGCGGAGAGUUUGGAGGCCAGGUCAAACGCGUCGGCGAGGUCCGAAACGGGAAGACUCGGAAGAAGACAACCCGGGUCAAGACCGAACGAUAUUUUGCAUAUGUUGUCGAAGGAGAAUCUUCUCAGUAUGUCCUGCAAAUCCAAGACCUUUUCCUUAUUCAUUUCGCCACGCGCGGUUGAGACCGCAAUAGGGAGCAAGCGCGAGUGGAUCUCCUCGUUGACCAACUCCAUCGCGUAGGAGCGAAUCGCGACGCUUCCGAGUUCAAGACUGGCCAUUUUGCGUUGAAAGCGCCAGGAAUCGCCGUCGACGUUGAAAAUUCCCUUGCCGAGAAGGUCGCCGAGGAUGGCGGAGAAGGGUUUCCCUUUGGGGUAGUUGUGGAAAUUGGUCUUGAGAAUGUACUCGACGUUGUCAGGGUUGGAGGUAAUGGUGUUCCCCAAGACAUG